CUGGCUGGGCACGAACGUAGAGGUCAGGCUAGGGCUGACGAUGCUGGCUAAGCGGGGGCGCACGUCUAGGAAGUCGUCGUCGUAGUCACCGAUGUCCGUGACCUUCCAGAGGUAAUCCACCCGCCUUGGCCUCCCAAAGUGCUGGGAUUACAGGUGUGAGCCACCAUGCCCAGCCAGAAACUGCCACUUUGAAACCAUCAGAUCUCAUUGAGAACUCCCUCACUAUCACGAGAACCGCAUGAGGGAAACUACCCCCAUGAUCUGAUCACCUCCCACCAGGUCCUGCCCUCAACAUGUGGGGAUUACAAUUCAAGAUGAGAUUUGGGUCAGGAAACAGAGCCAAACCAUAUCAAGAGCCUCUGGUAACCACUGUUCUACUCAAUACUUCUAUGAGGUGAACUUCUUUGGAUUCCACAUAUGAUCAGGAUCAUGAGGAAGGAGGAGCAAGUCUUCUUUGUCAUGCUAUUAAGAAAAUACCCAGAGUCACAGCACCAUGAUCUCCUUGUGAAGCAGAACAAGUAAUAUAAAACUGAUCUAAAGAGGCCUCCCGUCUACUCUUAACUGUCUGGUCGAGUCAUUUGGGUCCAAGUGGGCACCAUUGUGGGAGGGUGGGAGGACUAAUCACUGGGGGCCCAGGCAUCAUUGGCAUGUGGCCUCCUGUGUUAGUUUGUUCUCAUGCUGCAAAUAAAGACAACUUGAGACUGGAUAAUUUAUAAAGGAAAGAGGUUUAAUGGACUCACAGUUCCACAUGGCUAAGGAGGCCUCACAAUCAUGGCGGAAGACAAAGGAAGAGCAAAGGGACAUCUUACAUGGCAGCAGGCAAGAGAGCAUGUGCAGGGGAAGUCCCCUUUAUAAAACCAUCAGAUCUCAUGAGACUUAUUCACUAUCACAAGAACAGCAUGAGAAAAACCCACCCCCAUGAUUCAAUUACCUCCCACCUUGUCCCUCCCAUGUCAUGUGAAGAUUAUUACAACUCAAGGUGAGAUCUGAGUGGGGACACAGAGCCAAAUGAUAUCACCUCCAAUGGGCAGCCUCAUUCCAGGAGCACAUCCCAUUGGCAUCAUCCAGGAGAGGAGGGGGGGCCAUCAUUGGCAUCAUGGGAGGGCCCCCCAGCUGGGGUGCUGGCAUCAUACCUGGUGAGGAACAGGAAGAGACUGGGGGGAGGUUGGAUCAUCGCUCCUGCAGGAGGAGGAACAGAGAACAGAGUAGGAGGUGUUCUUCCUUGUUGAGAUGCAGUCUUUGUUCUGUCAGCCAGGCUCCGAGCCUGCUCUUCUAUCCAUUUCUGGUAGUAGUCUUUCACAUUCUCUUUGUGUUUCCUUCCACUGCAAUGGUAGGUUCUCACAGAUGGAGAGUCAUGGGUGAGGUAUGUAUUGCAGAAGUCACAACAAAACUUAGGCAUGUUGCUCUGUAGCCCGUUAACCACUCUCUUCCCUGAUUUUGCUUUGUUUUGAUGUGACAUUGAAGCACUGCACAUGCGCAGAGCAGCUAAUAGUUCUUCCCUCUUUGGAUUGUUGGAUGAAAUUUUUUUGAAUUUUAUUUUUUAUUGAUACAUAAUAGAUAUAUGUGUUUUGGGGGUAUAUAUGAUAAUUUAAUAUAUUUAUCUAACUUGUUAAAAACAAAUCAGUGUAAUUGGGACAGCCACCACCUUAAAUACUUGUCCUUCCUUUUUGCUGGAAACAUUUGAAUUAUUCUCUUAGCUAUUUUGAAAUAUACAAUAGGUUAUUCUAAACUAUAAUCACCCUAGUGAUCUAUGAAACACUACGUCUUAUUUCUUCUAUUGGGUUAAAUGAUUUAAUACCUGCAAUGCUCUUAGCAUUGUGCCUGGCACAUGAUAAAUAAAUAUUAGCUGUCGU
Pan troglodytes (chimpanzee) is the source of this 1853-nucleotide long non-coding RNA. RefSeq lists it as uncharacterized. The transcript is spliced from 4 exons. The record is from RefSeq and is a predicted model, not a curated record. NCBI's taxonomy places the organism in Eukaryota, Metazoa, Chordata, Mammalia, Primates, Hominidae.